CCACACUUCAUUAGAAUCCUUACUUUUAGUUCUUUGCAGGUUUUUCUUUAUGACACAGGAAACCAAAUAUGUAGCAGAGUCAUAGACACUGAUAAAAGGGCUUCUAAAAUGUUCUCAGUGGACGACAAAAUAUUUUAUAUCCCCAGUGUUUUAUAUCCCUGAAGGGGUGAUAAUAUCUGACCCUUCAUACCUUGUAGAGGAAAGAACAAUUCCAGACCUUCUUUUGUCAGGUAUCAAAAUUUACUCAGAACAACUGACUCUGUCAAAUGUAUCUUUGAAAGGACACAAAAAGUUUUUCUCAGGGAGGCACCGAGAUGGCAGAGUGGUGAGCAGCAGACAAAAAGCCUCUCUGACAGUUGCUGGGAUACAGCAACACGAAGAAGACAAGAGGGAGGGAGGAGGGUCCCCUAGACCCAGGAAGGAUCUGAAGCAUGAACUGAAGUGCACAGACAGAGGGAAGAGAAAAACUUCAGAAGAAGGAGGUAGCUGGUGGCACCUUCUCCCUGAGACAGGAAUCACUGUGCAAGAGGAGCUGUUCAAACCCAAGGACACAUGGUGACUGCUGGAGAUCCCAGAGGCCUCAAAGAGAGACACAGUGGUGGAGGAGAGCAUGAUACAUAAAGGACUGCACUAGCUGGAGGUCAUAUGAUAAUCAAGAGACAAAAAUGACAGAACUGACAGUGGACCAUGGGUAUACCUUAUAUGAAGUAUUGGAGCCUGCUGCUCCAGGCUCCGUCCAUCAGGGUGAGCUGAAUAAGCCAUGGAACCUCCUCCAUUAACUGGGCGGCACGGGUCACAAGAGCCUGUACACUCUGAGAAUUCCCAUUCCUUUGGAACACUUGGAGAGAGGACUGUGGCAUUCUAUGGAAGAAAAUGGUAGAAGGUAACUCCUAAAGAGUCUCCUGGCUUAAGGAUUUUGAUUCAAGAUGAGACACAUGCCAACCACCAGUUAGUUCUUAUCCUUCUCUCUCACACAUGUUCCAUCUGAGGUAGUUUACUAAAUAAACUCUGUUUAUGCUUUCUGGCA
This is a long non-coding RNA of Chinchilla lanigera (long-tailed chinchilla), 1027 nucleotides long. RefSeq lists it as uncharacterized. NCBI's taxonomy places the organism in Eukaryota, Metazoa, Chordata, Mammalia, Rodentia, Chinchillidae. The record is from RefSeq and is a predicted model, not a curated record. The transcript is spliced from 3 exons.